CCAAACUGGUCUGCACAUCUGGAUUGGGCAUAUUGUUAGUUGGACUAUUGCUUCAAUUCUACUGUUUAUUGGACAGGAAACCAAAAUAGGACAGGAUUUUAAAGCGUAGGCUGAAACAGGUGAAAUCAAGGACAUUACUUGAAUGCUACUGCAGGUACAUGCGAAGAAAUGAUCAAAAGGGCCGUAUUUGCCAGGGAAUUGGGAGUUCCAACAUGGCAGGAAUCUGAAAUUUAAGGCUAUAUCUGUUUCCUUUUGUUUGCAGCUUGAUUUUGAGUUUUAUGAUCGAUUUUCAUAAAAUGUGUGUGAAUUUCAACAUUAA
Molecule: long non-coding RNA, 319 nt
Organism: Magnolia sinica
Lineage: Eukaryota; Viridiplantae; Streptophyta; Magnoliopsida; Magnoliales; Magnoliaceae
Exons: 2
Source: RefSeq, a predicted model, not a curated record